RNA transcript from Vitis riparia (riverbank grape), 2652 nucleotides. It is a transcript of the gene named metal transporter Nramp2-like, with no coding region annotated. NCBI's taxonomy places the organism in Eukaryota, Viridiplantae, Streptophyta, Magnoliopsida, Vitales, Vitaceae. The record is from RefSeq and is a predicted model, not a curated record. The transcript has 5 exons.
CCAGCCGUAUCCGCAUCACUCACCACUCCUUGGGCCGGUUCAAUUCCAUGCCUACAGCUCACGUGAGUCCCUCGGUAGCGCACGAUACCACACCUUCAUCUUGUAUAACUGGCCGCUGACCCGUGGUCGGACUCCGAAGGUUACGAAUUCCGCUGCCGCCAUGAUGACUCCUGAGCCAUCACAGCAAGAACCGCCCAACGGAGACGGCAAAGAUGAGGAAGCUAAUCGUCUCUUACCCGCAAAAUCUCCUUCGCCACUGUCGCCAUCAUCGGACGAGGAGGAGGUCGCGUACGAAUCUAGAGAGAAAAUAUCAAUCGUCGAUUUGGAAGGCGAAACCCUAGAGUCCCUCGAUGCGUCCGCGACUCCGCCCUUCUCGUGGAAGAAGCUGUGGCUAUUCACGGGACCAGGGUUCCUGAUGAGCAUUGCGUUCCUAGAUCCCGGAAACCUUGAAGGGGAUCUUCAGGCGGGAGCCAUUGCAGGGUACUCUCUGCUAUGGCUAUUGAUGUGGGCGACGGUUAUGGGGCUCUUGAUCCAGUUAUUGUCGGCGAGGGUUGGGGUGGCCACGGGGCGGCAUCUAGCCGAGCUCUGUAGGGAAGAGUAUCCGACAUGGGCUGGGCGGUUGUUGUGGUUCAUGGCGGAGUUGGCCUUGAUCGGGGCUGAUAUCCAGGAGGUGAUUGGUAGUGCCAUUGCAAUUAAGAUUCUUAGCCGUGGAUUUCUUCCGCUUUGGGCUGGAGUUGUAAUUACUGCGUCCGAUUGUUUUAUCUUUUUGUUUCUUGAAAACUAUGGAGUGAGGAAGUUGGAAGCUGUUUUUGCAGUUUUCAUUGCAACAAUGGGACUUUCAUUUGCCUGGAUGUUUGGUGAUGCAAAGCCCAGUGGAAGGGAACUUCUGAUAGGUGUUUUGGUUCCAAAACUUAGCUCAAAAACAAUUCGGCAGGCAGUGGGAGUUGUUGGUUGUGUUAUAAUGCCUCAUAAUGUAUUUUUGCAUUCUGCUUUGGUACAGUCCAGGAAGAUUGACCCCCACAGAAAAGGUCGGGUUCAAGAGGCACUCAACUACUAUUCAAUUGAGUCGACAGUUGCCCUUCUAAUCUCUUUCAUGAUCAAUUUGUUUGUGACAACUGUUUUUGCAAAGGGAUUUUAUGGUACUAAACAGGCCGAUGGAAUAGGCCUAGUAAAUGCAGGGCAGUAUCUUGAAGAGAAGUAUGGGGGAGGUGUUUUCCCAAUACUUUAUGUCUGGGGUAUUGGACUAUUGGCAGCUGGACAGAGUAGUACCAUAACUGGCACAUAUGCUGGGCAAUUUAUCAUGGGAGGCUUUCUCAAUCUCCGUCUGAAGAAAUGGCUAAGGGCAUUGAUAACACGUAGUUUUGCUAUUGUGCCUACUAUGAUUGUAGCUCUUGUUUUCAACAGAUCUGAAGCUUCACUGGAUGUUUUAAAUGAAUGGCUUAAUGUGCUUCAGUCAAUGCAGAUUCCUUUUGCACUUAUUCCCCUUCUUACUUUAGUGUCCAAGGAACAGGUUAUGGGUGUCUUCAAGGUUGGACCACUUUUAGAGAGAGUGGCGUGGACUGUGGCUGCCCUUGUAAUAGUGAUCAAUGGGUAUCUUCUGCUGGAUUUCUUCAUGGCUGAAGUUGAUGGAGUGCUAUUUGGUUUUCUGGUCUGUGCUGGCACAGCUCUAUAUGUAGCAUUUAUUUUUUAUCUUGUAUCACAUGGUGGUGUCCUUUCUUCUACUUGGUUCAGCUUAGUAACAUCCAAGAGGUUUGCUUUCAUUGGGAGUUGAGGGACUUAAAAAAUAUCAUAAUCAUUCUGUCCACUGUCUGACAAAUUUCAAAGAGGGCUAUUCCCCCAAUGGAAGCAGUUUUCUACAAGAAGCCUCUUUCUAACUUUUGUGCAUGGGUGAUGUAAGUGUACAAAUUUAUGAAAAAGGUGAAUCUUUUUUAAAAUGCACUUCUCCACAUGCUGGAGGCACCGGGUUGCACUUUAUGCUUUGGAUCAUCUGAAGAUAUUCUUUUCUCCAUCCUAGAGGAUGAACUAAACACAUCCACCUGCCACAGGAUAAAGGUAUUUCUCUGUUCCAAUUCUUGAAGGGGGGUUGGAGGGAAAGAUUCAACGUAGCAAGUAAAAAUUUUAGAAUGAACCAUUUAGUUUUCUUAUGCUGUAACUGAUGGAUGUUAUUGUAUAGGGUAGAAUCGAAUGGGCACUUGUUUCCAAUCAAAUAAUGCAAAGGGAAGUACCGUGUGCAAGCAUAUAAUGCAUUGCUACAGCUAUAUGGGAUGUUCUUGUUUGUGGUAUUGGAACUUUCUGGUGUUCUUAUUUUGUAGGGAAAUAUGGAAAAACCUAUUCUGCUCAGUGCGGACUAAAACCAAUCAUGCUGAAGCUUCAAAAAUUAAUUUAUUGCUUGAAGAAUGUUGAUGAUUGUGUUAAACUGCCCAGGCCUAGUUGAAUGGUGUCAUGUAGUUGGAUAUGAUUGAUUUCUUCAUAGGGACAGUAUGGAGGGGGAUAGGGGGGAAAGGAAGGGGAUUUUCGUCAUUUCCUUUCUUGGUCAUCUAAUUAGUUGUAAUUUAUUCCAAAAAUUAAGGAAACGACUUCAAAAAAUGUUGCUUGAAGAAUUUGUCACAUCCUCUUCUCGUUCCUCUUUGAGAUUGUGAUUGGAAAUUUGUC